CCUACGGGUGGCAGCAGUGGGGAAUAUUGCACAAUGGGGGAAACCCUGAUGCAGUAACGCCGCGUGAGUGAAGAAGUAUUUCGGUAUGUAAAGCUCUAUCAGCAGGGAAGAAGAUGACUGUACCUGAUUAAGAAGACCCGGCUAAAUACGUGCCAGCAGCCGCCGGAAUACGAAGGGGGCAAGCGGUAUCCGGAUUUACUGGGGGUGAAGGGAGCGGCGAGGGCAGUGCAAGGCUGGAGUGAAAGCCCGGGGCCCAACCCCGGAACUGGUCUGGAAACUGGGCGGCUAGAGUACCGGAGGGGCAGGCGGAAUUUCUAGUGUAGCGGUGAGAUGCGUAGAUAUUAGGAGGAACACCAGUGGCGAAGGCGGCCUGCUGGACAGUAACUGACGUUGAGGCUCGAAAGCGUGGGGAGCAAACAGGAUUAGAUACCCCUGUAGUC
RNAcentral lists this ribosomal RNA (440 nucleotides) under uncultured bacterium. RNAcentral's name for it is "partial 16S ribosomal RNA". It matches the Rfam family "Bacterial small subunit ribosomal RNA", at positions 338 to 795 of the family's 1533-position model. The record is from RNAcentral.